Molecule: RNA transcript, 2919 nt
Organism: Melanotaenia boesemani (Boeseman's rainbowfish)
Lineage: Eukaryota; Metazoa; Chordata; Actinopteri; Atheriniformes; Melanotaeniidae
Gene name: probable G-protein coupled receptor 34
Exons: 3
Source: RefSeq, a predicted model, not a curated record
AGGGAAAAAAAAACAGACAUGUGAAAUUCAAGACAGGUCAAACUGUGGUUGGGUUGAAGAAAAUCUCAUCAGCUUUAUCAGCUCAAAGAGGCACAAGAUUCUUCUUACAGUUACUUUGCAGGCUGUGUGAAGCAUUGCUUCUCCUAUUCUGUGCAAAAGUGCAUGGUCUUAUAUGUUCAAUAUCUGGUUAGUGAACCUCAGUUUCACAAUGACAAUAAAUCUGCAUGUAACCACAAUGUUAUGAUGAUGAGAAGACAGACAGGAAGCAAUAUGCACAUUCUGGAUAAUGUGUUUUAAGUGAAAUGCUUCUUUUUUUCCUUCUCUUUAAAAGGUCAAAAUGUAGCUUCAAAUUUGUAUAUUGUGAAGCACAAAUUAAGUGACAUAUGACACAAAAUGAUUGAUCUGUGCACAUAAAUAGGAAUAAAUUCAGUCUGACUGUGUAGUCGUGUUGAAUGUGGAAGGGACUGUUCAGGACCACACUGAGGUGUAAUUCAUUAGAAGAGCUGAAGAACAUGUUGAGUGGUGGUGAUUUAACUUCCUCCCUUCGUAUGUAAAGGAGGAACUGAGGGGCGUGGAGGACGAUUAUAGAGAAUUUGCAAGAUAAGCGAUGCAGCAAGGGGGUGAGAGAAAACAAGAGGCAGGGACAAGAGGACAGUCAACAACCGUCACCUGUGGGAGUGCAGAUUUAAAGACAAGGACUAACAGGGAAAGACAAGCAAGCUGAGAACAAAGAGCUGAGGGCAGGACACAACAAAACCAAAAGAUGUGAAAAAGAUGAGUCUGCUACAUAAAUGACUCAUUCAAGCAUUGCAGAGACAGCUGCAGACAGCAAACGAGUUCAAGAGCAAGCGGCUUCAACACAGACAAAACCAAAAUCUGUCUUAUUUGGGAGACAAUUUUAAUAGAAACUGCUUCCUUUGUCUAAUGGGAGAAAAUCUCACGCUGGACCGCUGUGCUCAAAUAUCUGUGAAAAUUUGAACCGCAGCUUCUGUCUGAUGAGCCAAAUCGUCAGUCAGACACAAUGACCACGAUCCACUCUACUUCUUCUUUCACACCAACUCCUUCAGCCUCUGCAUCUUUUAACUCUUCUCUUUCUAUUUCUACUUCAUCAUUCUUUUCAUCUGCCUCUGUUUCUCCUUUCACUACCUCCAUUUCAUCAACUGUCUCUCCAAAUCAGGAGUGCACAUUUGAUGACUCAGCACUCCAUCUGCUGCUAGCAGUCGUCUACUCUCUGUUCUUUAUUUUUGGCCUUGUGGGUAACCUGUUUGCUCUGUGGGUAUUCCUCUUCCUGCACUCAAACCGCAACUCGGUGCGGGUGUUCCUCAUUAACUGCGCCGUGGCUGAUCUGAUCCUCCUGGCGUGCCUGCCCUUCAGGGUGUUCUACCAUGUCAACAGAGACAAGUGGGUUCUGGGAUCUGUGGCCUGCAAGCUGGUGGGGAAUAUAUUCUACAUGAACAUGUAUAUUAGCAUUGCAUUACUGGGCCUCAUCAGCCUGGACAGAUACUUGAGGCUGAGGGGGAAAGGCAGAGAGAGGAAUGGGGUGAGACUAAGGCUGAGGCUGUGGGGGCGCAGCCGGCCAUGUAGCUGGUUGGUGUGCGGAGCUCUGUGGGGUGUGUCGCUCACAGCAGCAGCAGUCAUGAUCGCCACAGCAGAGGACAUGGAGAGCAACGACAAAUGUUUCCAGUACAAGAAGCGCAAGAAUAGCCAAGGGAAGGGGUACUUUAACGCAGUGCUGGUGUUCAUGUUUUGGCUCGUCUUCAUCAUGAUCGUGGUCUCCUACGCCAAGAUUGCCUCUCAGUUGCUGCAAGUGUCCCGGGACAAACCAGACCUUCCAAACGCAAACAAAUACAAAAGGACGGCAAAGAAGUCUUUUUUCGUUCUUUUUCUCUUCACUGUCUGCUUUGGACCCUAUCACGCCUUUCGUCCCAUCUAUAUCUACUCCCAACUCAAUAACACAAUAUCAUGUGACUACAUUCAACUGGUGGAUCAUACCAAUGAGGUCAUGCUAUUAUUCUCUGCCUUUAAUAGCUGCUUGGACCCUGUCAUGUACUUUCUGUUAUCUGGCUCUGUGCGCAAAACUGCCCUGCAAGUGAUUGGAAACCGGCUUGGUGGCCGGUUCAUCUUCCAUGCUGAACCGACGUCUUUCAGCUCGACAGCAGAGUCUAGACGUCCCGACCAUAACCUGAACACGCCUUCCCUAACCCCAAGAACCAGCAUCUGUGUCUCCACCCUCCACCGCAUAGGAGGGACUACACUUCGACCUACAGUACAACAGUGAUUACAUCUCUAACUUUGGGUGGACUGUUUGAAUGUAAAACUUAGCUAAAUACUUCUGUGUUUAAAAAAGAAAUUAAAAUUAAAUUUAUAUACCAAGUUGAUUUUGCCGCUUUAUCUUUUGAAUACUUGUGCUUGUUAAAAGUUGUGUAACCCUCAAAACCCUGUUGAUCACAGGAACGAUGGUGUGUAACUCUGUGGGUUGAAUUGUGGUCAAUCCUUUACCCUUUAGAUAAUCUACUUAAGUUUUCCAGGAACUUAUAUCCCGUCCAGGAGGUUUACAAAAUAUGCCGCAAAAAAAAAAAAAAAAUGCAAACAUAAAAUACAGAACAUCAAGUGUUUCCUGUUCUCAUGCAUGGCCGAGAGGCAGAAAGAGCUCCGUGUGCUUAGCUAGCAAAUGUUCUAGACAAAAUAAGAAGUACCAAGUUAAAUCAAACACGUUGUAUCUGACAUUUUUAUUUAACAAGCACUCGAUUGUCUUUUCGUUGUCUGACUGUGGGAAAACCCAUCAGUUAUUAUUUAGGAGUAAAAGAGCUCUAGUGUGGAUGAAAGUGCCAGGUUCAGGGCUGCUCCAUCUGGUUUGGUUGUGUCUAUAACCUCGGCUGGAAGGCUCAUCCUGUUGAAAUCAUUGGUGAAUUCAAAUCU